Molecule: ribosomal RNA, 407 nt
Filed under: uncultured prokaryote
Also listed under: 1 other name
Description: bacterial SSU rRNA
Rfam family: Bacterial small subunit ribosomal RNA
Source: RNAcentral
UGGGGAAUAUUGCACAAUGGGGGAAACCCUGAUGCAGCAACGCCGCGUGGAGGAUGAAGGUCUUCGGAUUGUAAACUCCUGUCUUUUGGGACGAAAAAAAUGACGGUACCAAAGGAGGAAGCCACGGCUAACUACGUGCCAGCAGCCGCGGUAAUACGUAGGUGGCAAGCGUUGUCCGGAAUUAUUGGGCGUAAAGGGCGCGUAGGCGGCGUCUUAAGUCAGAUGUGAAAUCCCCGGGCUUAACUCGGGAAUAGCAUCUGAUACUGGGACGCUAGAGUGCAGGAGAGGUAAGUGGAAUUCCUAGUGUAGCGGUGAAAUGCGUAGAUAUUAGGAGGAACACCAGUGGCGAAGGCGACUUACUGGACUGUAACUGACGCUGAGGCGCGAAAGCGUGGGGAGCAAACAGG